GAUGAACGCUAGCUACAGGCUUAACACAUGCAAGUCGAGGGACCGACGGAUGGGUGAGUAACACGUAACCAACCUGCCCUUUCGGCGGAGAUAGCGUAUCGUAAGAAAGAUUAAUACCAGAUGAAGAGGACGGGGAUGCGUUCCAUGAGGUUGUGGGUGAGGUAACGGCACACCAAGCCUUCGAUGGAUAGUGGUUCUGAGAGGAGGGUCCCCCAGAUUGGAACUGAGCCACUGUCCAAACUCCUACGGGAGGCAGCAGUUAGGGAUACUGGUCAAUGGGCGUUAGCCUGAACCAGCCAAGUAGCGUGAAGGAUGAAGGCUUAUGGGUCGUAAACUUCUUUUAGAUAAGAAUAGGUAUUAUAUGAAUAAGGAUCGACUAACUCCGUGCCAGCAGCCGCGGUAAUUC
Molecule: ribosomal RNA, 406 nt
Filed under: uncultured bacterium
Lineage: Bacteria
Description: partial 16S ribosomal RNA
Rfam family: Bacterial small subunit ribosomal RNA
Source: RNAcentral